Myodes glareolus (Bank vole) is the source of this 1751-nucleotide long non-coding RNA. RefSeq lists it as uncharacterized. The record is from RefSeq and is a predicted model, not a curated record. Lineage: Eukaryota; Metazoa; Chordata; Mammalia; Rodentia; Cricetidae.
GUGCAGGAUUAGAGGUCAUUUUCCAGGAUGGGACUUAUACUGCCCAACAAAACAUGUCCAAGGGAGGUUAGACUUUGUGGGAGUCCCAGCUCUUUAGCAGUCUGUGAAAUGGUUCCUGCAGCGCAACCAGGGACCUCUGAUCUAGAGACAGCAAAGGGCAGAGGACCUGCUGAAGGAUGCAUGAAACCUAAACCUGCCUUCUCAGCACAUCUGCAUGGCCAGAUAGAAAGCCUGGACCAGGGAGGUUGGACAAGCUGCAGGCAGACCUGGGAGGCCGUGUUUCCUUUUCAUCCAUCAGAAAACUACUUGCUAACAACUGCCCACAUCCUGGGGCUUAAGUUACCCUUCCCAUCUCCAUUAAAAAUAUAAUCAAAAACACCUCUUCCUAUGCAGAAUUCAAUUAUGAGACAAAAGAAGAAAAGUUCCCACUCUGAAACAAUGCCUAUCUUGUCUUGAUGGAUUUCUCUGCAAUGUUCGCUCUGUACAGUUUUCACGGAACUGGGAAAGCGACCCUCUAUCGUGCUUCACCAAGUCUAUGAACACACAUUCUACUGGCCUGCUGCGUUCAGUUUGCUGGCUAAAGGAUAUUGGAGGAGGAUGGUGGAGAAACAGAAGAAUGAACCGUGAAGCUUUCCUGCUUUCCUUAUUGGCUCUUACAGGAUAUGAGUUGAAGCCAUAGGCACACAGUGCCGGACUGAGCAGGCACCUUAGAGGCCAUGAUAAUAUAUGGGCUCUCCAAGACCAAGAGAUGGCUCCUGCAUCACCCUUCUACUCCGUGUUUCCAGACACCAGGGAUGCACUCAGACUACAAAGACUACUAGCGCCGUGGUCCCAGACACUAACAGGAAAGCUGGGACCAGGCAGGUUAGCAAAGAAGAGGAAGUGAAGCCAGGGUGUGUCUGCAGCUAGCUCUAGGCAGCUUUGGAGUCCAUCUUCAAAACACGCCUGAAGUUAGAGCUCCUGUCACGUGCUUUCUGCCCGGCGGCCCUGCAGAUGCUGAAUCAACCACACGCCGCUCCGCAGCUACCUCACCUCGCCUCUCACACAUUCCUGCUGUCUGGCAGAGCUAACCUCUGCUGAACAAGAAACGCUGCCGAAAAGCAGAGUUCCCAUGGUCCUCUUGGGGGCGCUGGCACGCGCUGUCCUUCCGGCACACAAACAGGCCAUCCUCGCUGUUCAGGAGCUGUGUCUGCAGGAAGCUGAAGCAGGAGUCCUCCAGAUUGUGCAUGCGCAGGAACUCGGCACAGCGGAUGACCUCGCGGAUGUUCUCUCUGCUGAGUAACAGCUUGGCCGUGUAGGCAAACUGGAGCAGUGGCCCAAAGCCCCUGGCCGUGACCUGCAAAACAAACAGGGAAAUCGCCAGCGUUACCAUCAGCACGGCUAUUGUCCUGGAUUUCUCAACCAAAGCAAGAUAACCAGACAGUGCUAAUGCCCUGGAAUAAAAACUGCAAAGGAGCAGUUAAUCUCGUCCUGGGUCAGCAAUGCUUCUGCGUCCAAUAAUUAGUGCCUGUCCCGUGCCUGCCACCUCUGUACUUCACGGCACGAGCAGAACAGAGUCACCAGGGUCAAGUGGCGAAGUAAGAUGACAAAGGGCUCACUGUUUACACUGAUGAAAUGUCCUGGUGAAAACGCACAGAACAAUGGGAAGCCUAUUCAUUUCUGUCCCCGUCAGUCCUGUCGAGAGCCAGUGUACACAAGAGGGGGAGCUGUGACUCUUCUUGAAGCCAAGGAAAGCAUUAACAUUGUCUUGU